GGCAACAUGGCCGAGUGGUCUAAGGCGCCAGAAUCAGGAGGGCGCUUUGUCCGAAUAAUCUGGUCCUCCGGGGCGUGGGUUCGAAUCCCACUGUUGUCA
Molecule: non-coding RNA, 99 nt
Organism: Pluteus cervinus
Lineage: Eukaryota; Fungi; Basidiomycota; Agaricomycetes; Agaricales; Pluteaceae
Source: the annotation of a GenBank genome assembly